Molecule: unclassified non-coding RNA, 255 nt
Filed under: Hevea brasiliensis (rubber tree)
Lineage: Eukaryota; Viridiplantae; Streptophyta; Magnoliopsida; Malpighiales; Euphorbiaceae
Source: RNAcentral
GAAAUCAGAAUGUUACUCCCUAGUUCAUUAACUGUUGAAUAUUCAUGUAACAGAUGAAACUGGUGUCUGCCAUUGUAUACUCAGACACAUUUCAACCCAGAUCGAUGGCAAGACAUUAUCUAUCAACUGGCAUUGUUGACUUCAGACCAUUAGAAAGAUAAUUCUAGUAGAUAAUACUGAUGAUUGCAUUGUUUAAUCACAAAAGGAAAAUUCCAAAUGUUUGUGUAUGUAAUGAAUUCUGAAAAUAAACAAAGA